Diprion similis is the source of this 531-nucleotide long non-coding RNA. RefSeq lists it as uncharacterized. The record is from RefSeq and is a predicted model, not a curated record. The transcript is spliced from 3 exons. Lineage: Eukaryota; Metazoa; Arthropoda; Insecta; Hymenoptera; Diprionidae.
CUGUGUUACAGAGUUUACAAAAUCCAGUCAGCAUUGCUUGACGCCGGCGAAUCCAGAGGUCAACAAUAAAAACGUUGAGGACAUCAUAUUUUCGUCAGUGGGAUUUGCCUGCGAGAACAAUGGAAAACGUCUCAAAGAUCUAGUACCCGCCAGGAGCGCGGAAUGUAUCUCUGUCACAAAUAAAGAUCUCAUGGCCUGUCGUCGGUGACUAUUAUCCAACAAAGAUAUUCCUAGGAGCAGCUUUAGCACGAAUUGGACCACAGAACAGUACGCCGUAUUCAAGGAAUAUCAACGCUGUAGCGUCGACGUCCUCAGAACAUGCCAGAACCAGACGACCGCGAACUACAUAAAUGACCUGGCAAACGAUUGGCUUGCGCUAACGCCGAAGACUUCGCCUUCGGUGUAAUUGGAAUCUAGGGCGCAUCCGGUCGACAAAUGACGAGGACUUUUCGUCCAGGUGUCUUCAACACGCUCCAAAUCGUCCGAAUUGACACGAACUUCGGCAUCCAAGGAAGAAGAACAGUUUCGGAA